UACAGAGGUCUCAAGCGUUGUUCGGAUUCAUUGGGCGUAAAGGGUGCGUAGGCGGCGCGGUAAGUCGGGUGUGAAAUCUCGGAGCUUAACUCCGAAACUGCAUUCGAUACUGCCGUGCUUGAGGACUGGAGAGGAGACUGGAAUUUACGGUGUAGCGGUGAAAUGCGUAGAUAUCGUAAGGAAGACCAGUGGCGAAGGCGGGUCUCU
This 207-nucleotide ribosomal RNA is filed under the name uncultured bacterium. Its description in RNAcentral is "partial 16S ribosomal RNA". It matches the Rfam family "Bacterial small subunit ribosomal RNA", at positions 524 to 730 of the family's 1533-position model. The record is from RNAcentral.